Molecule: ribosomal RNA, 538 nt
Filed under: uncultured fungus
Lineage: Eukaryota; Fungi
Description: eukaryotic LSU rRNA
Rfam family: 5.8S ribosomal RNA (bases 153-306)
Source: RNAcentral
ACGGUCACUGGAUUGUGUGCUUUACGGCUCUAUCUCUAGUGAUCACAUUGACUCGGGCGCUGCUCUGACCCUUCACAGGGUUAGUGAAGAUUGCCCUGAGACAUACACGCUUGUUUUGUUUGACUGAGUUAUGGUGAAAAUUAAAUAAUGACAACUUUUAACAAUGGAUCUCUUGGCUCUUGCAACGAUGAAGAACGCAGUAAAGUGCGAUAUCUAAUGUGAUUUGCAUGAAUCUGUGAGUCAUCUAGUCUUUGAACGCAACUUGCACCUCUCGAGAAAUCGAGCGGUAUGUCUGUUUGAGAACCACAAACCUCUUUGCUUACCCCUUACACGGUAGCAGAUAUGAGACACUGUGAGUGUCUUGAAAUAAAGCAUGCAGGGCUUGUGAGCGUGUGCCAUGUGCUAGAGAUCGCAAGAUCUUGUCAUGGUGUACAGGAGCGGCCGAAUCAUUUACGCUUUUAAUUGGAGGGGGUCUCAAAUCCAGGGGGCAAGGAUUACCCGGCUGGAACUUAAGGCAUAUCAAUAAGGCGGGGAGGGG